Non-coding RNA from Schizosaccharomyces pombe (fission yeast), 252 nucleotides. The record is from the annotation of a GenBank genome assembly. Lineage: Eukaryota; Fungi; Ascomycota; Schizosaccharomycetes; Schizosaccharomycetales; Schizosaccharomycetaceae.
AAUGUUUACGAACCAUUUCAAAUAUUACGAUAAUUCGUUAAAUUAUGGUUUCAGAUGACUUUUAAUAUUCAUUUGGGUUGUGCAGUUUCUUAUGAGUGAAUAGCGUUGAAAAGCAGUGCGUUGUUAUAUUGCAGCGUGUAGGCAACUGAAUAAUAGGAGAUGAAAAUAAUUCUCAUUGAAGUAAUAGAAUCUAUCAUUGAAGUUCAAGUCGUAUUUGAUGCACUGUAAAUAAAAUAUUUUUUGGAGUCUAGC